RNAcentral lists this ribosomal RNA (398 nucleotides) under uncultured bacterium. RNAcentral's name for it is "bacterial SSU rRNA". It matches the Rfam family "Bacterial small subunit ribosomal RNA", at positions 358 to 773 of the family's 1533-position model. The record is from RNAcentral.
GGAAUCUUGGACAAUGGGGGAAACCCUGAUCCAGCCAUGCCGCGUGAGUGAUGAAGGCCUUCGGGUUGUAAAACUCUUUCGACGGGGACGAUAAUGACGGUACCAGCAGAAGAAGCUGCGGCUAACUACGUGCCAGCAGCCGCGGUAAUACGUAGGCAGCAAGCGUUGUUCGGAGUUACUGGGCGUAAAGAGUGCGUAGGCGGUUGCUUAAGUUUGGUGUGAAAUCUCCCGGCUCAACUGGGAGGGUGCGCCGAAAACUGGGCAGCUUGAGUGUCGGAGAGGUACGCGGAAUUCCUGGUGUAGCGGUGAAAUGCGUAGAUAUCAGGAGGAACACCUGUGGUGUAGACAGCGUACUGGACGAUAACUGACGCUGAGGCACGAAAGCGUGGGUAGCAAAC